GCGGAUGUGGUGGAAUUGGUAGACACACUGGAUUUAGGUUCCAGCGCCGAAAGGUGUGAGAGUUCGAGUCUCUCCGUCCGCACCA
This 85-nucleotide transfer RNA is filed under the name Pseudomonas fluorescens. RNAcentral's name for it is "tRNA-Leu". It matches the Rfam family "tRNA". Rfam says of the family: Transfer RNA (tRNA) molecules are approximately 80 nucleotides in length. Their secondary structure includes four short double-helical elements and three loops (D, anti-codon, and T loops). The record is from RNAcentral. Lineage: Bacteria; Pseudomonadati; Pseudomonadota; Gammaproteobacteria; Pseudomonadales; Pseudomonadaceae. RNAcentral also lists the same sequence under 66 other names.